GAGAACCUAAGAGAACAAGACCUAAAACCUUAAUAGUCAUUGCUGCCAAUAUCCAUCUUCUUCGACCUUAGAGUAACCCUACCCAAAAAACACCAUAGUCGAACCAAGAACUCACUGUCGCCGACCAACUGACCCCAACCAACUUCCCCCACACCUGGAACACUUGCCUCCUCCUCCAGAACAAUCACCUUCCGUCGACCACUCUCGUCUGCAGACAACAACUAGCUGCUCCCUCACCAUCAGACUCGCCGGAAAACAGAAACUCCCAUCAGAUCGAGUGUGCACGUCCGUAGAUAGGACAUGUGAAUAAAACUUAUAACUGAUAUUCGCUCAGUUCGAGUUCAGUUCAGUUCGGAUCGAGUUUCGUUCGCGGGUUUGGAUUCAUCUCAUUGUCGUCUUCUCCAUUCAGAUUUUUACUUUUACGAAGUUGUUUCAAUUAUUGUAUAUUAAAGAACACCUUCUUAACAGGUUCAUUUCUGUUCUCCAUGACUCUUUUAAUUUCAGUUAGAUUUAAUCUUCUUUUAUUACUUGUGUUUUGCCUCACUGUCGUGUCUAGAUAUCUUAGUUUCGAAUCUGUUUGGUUUGCACACAAUGUUUUAAUCAUUGUUGGUAACAGAUUUUGCCUUUUCCUUUUUAGAUCCAGUAGACUAGAAUAUUUGAUUGAACUGUUCGCAAUAGGCAACUUGUAAAUUCUUGAAUUUGGCAUGUAAGUUGAAUGGAACAGUAGAUAGACGUAGGAAGGCAACAAUGAUUAAAUGGGAUUGGACCAUGGGAGUUUGAACAAGAUUAAGAGAAAUAGGUUUCGGAGAAUUAAACAGUAGUUGUCAUGUUUUUUUUUAUUUCGUUAUUACUAGAUACCCCUUUUAUCGCUAGUAGCAUGUAUUAGGCCGCUCACACGUGGGUAGGCAAGCUUUAGGAUUUAGUUAGUUUUAAGGCAAGAAGUUUUCCUUAGUUGAAUUUAUCCAGGAAAUUCCCCGUGAAGUUUGUAAAUGUUAUUAUCCGGGGUAUGCCUGGAAGAACUAUCUAAAUAUUUUAGAGGCCUUGACGAGCAUGGUGGAGAAGUCGUAGUAUAGGCUAGCUUAGGAUUUUUCUUUUCUUUUCCUUUUCGUUUUCUUUCAAUUAGGUGGGGAUGACCUCGAGCCUUUUUGAUCUUUUAUUUUCUUUUGUGUGUGUUUUAUUUAUUUUACCUCAAUUUGAAUUUUUUUUAUAGUCAACUAGAUCAAGUACGCAAUCGUACUACCUACGGGACUUGGGGAAUGCCCAACACCUUCUCCCCGAGUCAAAUGAAUCCCCUUACCCGAAUCUCUGGUAUAGACUUAGUUUUAGAGUCUCAAGUGUUUUGAAAGGAAAAAAAUUAGUUUUAGAAAAAACGGUGACCUGGCACACCGAAAUCAAAUGCCAGGUGGCGCUGAGUUAUUUCCUUUUGAAAAAAAUUGGUCACUUUUCAAUUGAAAAACCCUUUUAGAGCCUUACUAUAUCUUUUUAUUUAUUUAAGAGGAUUUAGUGAAGGUUUGUAUGAAAAAAGGGUUGUGACAAGUUGUAUGAAGAUGGAAAACAUAUUCUAGACUAAAUAGAGGAGCUAAAACGAGAAUACCAAUCAUUAGAUCAUACUUUUCUUUAGGAUGUCCAUGUUAAGAAGAGUAUUCUAGAGUUAUGUGAGGAAGUAGAUAAUAUUGCUUUAGAAGAAUCAAGUGUUUGUAUAAAUGGGGAUGUAAGUAGUAGUAAAAUUCACGAGUUAUAGCGCAUUAGACCUCAUUCGAAACAUUUUUCACAUUGUGUUUAGAUAGAUAGAUAGUAAUCGAGCCAUCUAACCCUAUACGGAAGUCAAAUAGUGAGAAUGAAAGUGCCUAUAUUCUUAAUUUGUUGAGCAAAAAAAUAAAAAUUACAUUCCUCAUCCAAAGGCCGAUAAGUUUCGAGUGAAAAAUUUAUUACUUGGCUUGGUUAUCUUCAUAGCCCCACCAGAGGAGCAUAGCCACAUAAUAGAUGCCUUGUUAGGGGUAAAUUCAUAAGUUCACGGUAAACGCAAAAAGUGGUUCACGUUGUCUAUUGUCUAUGUAGGAUUCGUAUAGAUGCCUAUGUGGUAUAUUCUGUAUAAUAAUUUUGAAUUUUAUAAAAUAGAAUAAUUUCUUUUUAUGUUUAUUUUUUAUAUUUUUAGCUUAGUUAGUAAUUUUAAUUUUUUGUACAAUUGUAGCAAUUUUCUCUAAUAAUUGGGUAGACAGAUAAAUAUUAUAUCAUUCUAAUUGAAGAACAGGGUAGUCUGAAUCUCUGUUAUACUUAUUAAGUGUCAACAUGAUAAUAACAUAAGUAUGGGGUAUUUACUCCAUCUGCUCUUAAAAUGAUUUUUUAGCUAAUAUAUCAUGUUGUGCAGAUAUAAUGUCUAGGUGCCCAAGCAAAAGAUCAAACAUUGGACUACCUGAGGUUGCAUCUAAUAGCCCGCAAAGAUGAGGAUGUGAACAAUAUUCCCUCAGAUGAUGAAGAAUAUCUGCGCACAUUUGAAGAAGAACAUGCUUAGGUCAAUGGCCUUAGGGAGUAUUUUUUCGGAUCUAUUUUGUUUUUCUUUUGCAUUAGUGACAACGCAAAGUUUUGAGUGUGGGGUGACUUGCCCCUAUCGAAUGUACUUACAUUAAUGUUUUUCAUAAUUUAGUUGUUUGAUUUUGUUUAGAUAUUAAUUUGUAUUUGCUUUUUGUUUGGUAUAUUAUAGCAUUAGUAGGUAGUAAGUAGUACUAAUUGUGAUUCUAUUUUCUGUUAAGUAUCCAAGGAUUGAUGGAUUCAAG
RNAcentral lists this long non-coding RNA (2774 nucleotides) under Nicotiana benthamiana. RNAcentral's name for it is "long non-coding RNA (NBEN_LNC002978)". Lineage: Eukaryota; Viridiplantae; Streptophyta; Magnoliopsida; Solanales; Solanaceae. The record is from RNAcentral.